RNAcentral lists this unclassified non-coding RNA (218 nucleotides) under uncultured Agaricales. Its description in RNAcentral is "sequence contains ITS2". The record is from RNAcentral. Lineage: Eukaryota; Fungi; Basidiomycota; Agaricomycetes; Agaricales.
AAUUCUCAAUCUUUUAAUGCUUUAUGGUAUUGAAAGUAUUGGAUGUGGAGGUUUAUUGCUGGCUUUAUUUAUAAAGUUGGCUCCUCUUAAAUGCAUUAGUGGCUUCUUUGAAGGAUCCCCAUAUAAUGGUGUGAUAGUAUAUCAACAUCAUAUAAUGGCUAGGUCAUGUAAAAAAUAAAGGAGUUGCUUUCUAACUGUCUUUUUUGACAAUUUGAACC